AUGGAGCUGCCCGCAGCCGGCCCCUGCGCACCCGCGGGACUUGCGCCUCCAGCCAUGGGGCCGGGGAGCCCCCCGAGGAGCGCUGCCCUCAUCCUGCUGGUGCUGCUGGUGCUGGGCGCACGGCCAGAGGCGCAGGAGACGGGUGUCCGCAGGCAGCAGAGACACGGGCAUAGCCUGAAUCCCAACAGUUCUUGGUGGGAUAUGGAGUACAAAGGACUGCUGCACAGUAAGAAAACCCUUCCUGGGGCUGUGGGCUCACACAAACUCUCCAGCCUGCUCAGAAGCAGCUCUGCCCUCGGUCACAAGGACAGCAGAAGUUUGCUGAGCCAGAACUUGGGCCAGAAAUCACAAGAAAAGCAGUUGUCCUGUGACAUGCUCCUUAAACUCUCCAGGUAUAUUUUAAUGGAUACCUUUGGACCCAGCUUGGCCUGGAAUCUCUUCCGAUUUUAUCACUGUGAUCGGGAAGUCAACUUGCCCAAAAUUCAUGUCAGUCCUCUCAAGCUGGCACAGCACAAGCUGAAGCCUUUCCUGCUGCACAGGAUGCUUCAGCUGCUCAGGAACAUGGGAGUGCUCUCCGAAAGUCAGCAGUCCAAGGUCUUCGCUCUGCUCAAGAAGCAAAUGCUGAAAGCAAGGAAAACACCCGUAAAGCCCCAAGUGGAGCAAAGUGGUAGGUACAUAAGGAGGAGAUGGGUUGGAUUCUGUCACGCCGAUGGGGCUGAGGUGGGAGCCAGGCUCGGUGCGCAGGCCCUGGUGCUUUGCUGAGCGAUGACGAGGGCUGAGGUGCUCAGCCUGAGGCAGGAGGUGUGUGCUGAGGUGGCUGGCAGCAGCCACAGUCUGCACAAGAGGAGCCUUUGGGGCGGCGUGUGGAGGGCAGUCGCCGCCGAUGAGCCAUAGAUUGGUUGUGAGCUGUGUUGGUCUGUGGGAAUCGAUACCGGCGCUAAAAGCCGAGCUGUGGUAGUGCUGUACCCGGCUUGGUGUGGUUGCCAGGCUGAUCUCUGCCUCAGAGAUCACCUCUAAUGCAUUAGGAGUGUGCUGCCACGGCUCCCCAGGGCACGGCUGUGCCAACGCCUCCCGCUGCCCCGCUCGGAGCUGGGGGCUGCCUGCGGAAACCUGUCAGGGGGCUGCGUUGCUUGGAAAAACAUAAAAUCUAGGAAGAAUUACAAAAUAAAUAAAGUGAGAGAUGGCA
Molecule: long non-coding RNA, 1186 nt
Filed under: Anas platyrhynchos platyrhynchos (common mallard)
Lineage: Eukaryota; Metazoa; Chordata; Aves; Anseriformes; Anatidae
Description: lncRNA (ENSAPLG00000017703.1)
Source: RNAcentral